Molecule: ribosomal RNA, 253 nt
Filed under: uncultured bacterium
Lineage: Bacteria
Description: partial 16S ribosomal RNA
Rfam family: Bacterial small subunit ribosomal RNA
Source: RNAcentral
UACGUAGGGGGCUAGCGUUGUCCGGAAUCAUUGGGCGUAAAGAGCGUGUAGGCGGUCCGGUAAGUCCGCUGUAAAAGUCCAGGGCUCAACCCUGGAAAGCCGGUGGAUACUGUCGGGCUCGAGUCCGGAAGAGGCGAGUGGAAUUCCUGGUGUAGCGGUGGAAUGCGCAGAUAUCAGGAGGAACACCGAUGGCGAAGGCAGCUCGCUGGGACGGUACUGACGCUGAGGCGCGAAAGCGUGGGGAGCGAACAGG